Molecule: ribosomal RNA, 207 nt
Filed under: Vibrio parahaemolyticus
Lineage: Bacteria; Pseudomonadati; Pseudomonadota; Gammaproteobacteria; Vibrionales; Vibrionaceae
Description: partial 16S ribosomal RNA
Rfam family: Bacterial small subunit ribosomal RNA
Source: RNAcentral
UAGUAAUCGUGGAUCAGAAUGCCACGGUGAAUACGUUCCCGGGCCUUGUACACACCGCCCGUCACACCAUGGGAGUGGGCUGCAAAAGAAGUAGGUAGUUUAACCUUCGGGGGGACGCUUACCACUUUGUGGUUCAUGACUGGGGUGAAGUCGUAACAAGGUAGCGCUAGGGGAACCUGGCGCUGGAUCACCUCCUUAAACGAUGAU